This 227-nucleotide ribosomal RNA is filed under the name uncultured bacterium. RNAcentral describes it as "partial 16S ribosomal RNA". It matches the Rfam family "Bacterial small subunit ribosomal RNA", at positions 524 to 749 of the family's 1533-position model. The record is from RNAcentral.
UACGUAGGGUGCAAGCGUUUAAUCGGAAUUACUGGGCGUAAAGCGUGCGCAGGCGGUUUUGUAAGUUUGUCGUGAAAUCCCCGGGCUCAACCUGGGAAUGGCGAUGAAGACUGCAAGGCUAGAAUCUGGCAGAGGGGGGUAGAAUUCCACGUGUAGCAGUGAAAUGCGUAGAGAUGUGGAGGAACACCGAUGGCGAAGGCAGCCCCCUGGGUCAAGAUUGACGCUCA